Molecule: non-coding RNA, 71 nt
Organism: Podarcis lilfordi (Lilford's wall lizard)
Lineage: Eukaryota; Metazoa; Chordata; Lepidosauria; Squamata; Lacertidae
Source: the annotation of a GenBank genome assembly
UCAUAGCUCAGCUGGUUAGAGCGUGGUGCUGACGACCCCAAGGUUGCAGGUUCGAUCCCUGUAUGGGAGAG